This 12330-nucleotide long non-coding RNA is filed under the name Capsicum annuum. RNAcentral's name for it is "long non-coding RNA (CANN_LNC015647)". Lineage: Eukaryota; Viridiplantae; Streptophyta; Magnoliopsida; Solanales; Solanaceae. The record is from RNAcentral.
CCCUUAACACUUCACACAACAAACACCUAAAUCUUACAUUGAAAAACGGGGGACUUUACCACCCUAAUCACCAACACCUCAAGCCAAGAAUGCAAACACAAGUUACACUCACUUUCCUAGCCCUAGUUUCGGUUUUGGAGUUCCUCUCCCAAGUCUAGAGAGAACUUUAGAUGUUCAAAAUAUUACAACUCUCAAUAAUCAUAAACUCUCUAUGAAUAAAAUCUUAAGUUGUUAAAUUUAUAUUACAUUCCCAAAAGAGUUAAAAUGACGAAGCUGAUCUUUUAAUGAUUAAGGCUUCAAGGCUUCCCCUUGAGUGUAGACAUAGAAGCGGAUAUUUGAUUCUUCCACACUUAAGCUCGGGUCUUCUCUUAGUUGCCUUUGACAUACACAAAAAGUGUCCAUCUAUGAGAUCACACUUGUAUCAAAAAUAGUAGCAUGUGUUAGCAAAACAUAACAAAAGGGAGUGGUAAAAUUCAAUUAUAAGAAUUUAAAUGGUUUUUUCUUGAAGUAAAAUAGAUUUUAGAUUUUUAUAGAAUUUGAAUAAGCAAAAAAAAAUCAAGGUGAAAUAGACCAUUAUAUAUAUAUGUAUAUAUAUUGGUCACUUUUUUUUAUUUUUUAUUUUUGGUGACACAACCAAUGGAAAUAAUUUGAACUCACUAAAUUGAACCCACUAAGAACCACAUAGGUCCACCCCUGUGGCUCAAACAACCUUCAGGAUAGCUUAACCAAAUUAUACAUGCUAGAACAUGAAGGAGUGCCUUAUAGUAACAGGUAAAGUUGUUGCCAUGUGACAAAUAGGUCAAGGGUUUAAGCCAUAGGAAUAGCCUAUUGCAGAAAUGAAAGGUAAGACUUCAUACAGAAGACCCUUGAGGUCCGACCAAAAUUCCAGACCCCGCGCAUAGAGGGAGAUUUAGUGCACCUCGCGCAUAGCGGAGGAUUUAGUGCACCGGGUGUUUUAUCCUUUUUGUGAUUUUAUUUGAAACAAAUACUUUUGACCUCUUUAAACUAUUUCAGUAAUUUAAAAUUAAUUUUAAGAAAAUAAUAGAGUCACCACUUGACUUUUAUAAAGAAAUAUCAACAAAAACUUAGAAAUUUCAAAGAUUCAGAAAUAGAAAUAAAUCUUUGAAACAAGAGAAAUAAGUAAGAAUUUAUUUAACGCCCUAAUAAUAUUUUCAAGACACUUAUGAGUAUCCAUUUAAAAAUAAUUUACUUAAAUAUUUUGACUAACUUCAAAAAGUGGCUUGUUUUGCAAGGACUCGAUUUUGUAGGGAAUAUGAAAAUUAAUUAUGUUUUAAUACCUAAAUUGACAUUUAUUCAUCCAAGUGAAAAAAAUAUUUCACUUAAAUUAAAGAAAAAUAAAUUUAAACUAAAUUUCAAAUUUUUGAAAUUUAGAGGAAAACAAAUUUACAUAUUUUAUUGAAAAAAGAAUAAUAUUAUUUUAUUUAUUUUUGAGUAGGGAAGUUGAUUUUAUUAGAAAUAACACUUUUGGAAAAAAUGUGAAGGGAUUAUCAAAUUAAGAGAAAUUUAUUAAUUAGAAAGUUAAAUUUUUCUACAAAAAUUAGUUUUGUUUGGGUUAUAAUAAAAUUACCUUUAAUCCAAGUAAAAUAUAAGUCACAUGAACAAAUCAAACACCAUCUUGGUGUGAAAGAUUUUUAAUUUUUUGGAAGGCUCUAAGGAGAAAAAUUAAAGGAACCUAUUUUGAUACAUUUUGAACAAGAUAAAUUACGUGAGAUAAUACGAAUUAUGCGAAGGAAAACCAAGAUAAAAUAGAAUGGAAACACCUUAGGAAAUCACUUAGAUUAAUUAAAUAAAGUUAGUACAAAUUACACGCAACAAGAAAAAAAGGAAAGAUGGCAAAAUUUGAGAUUUGAGGCCCUGCUUUGGCCUAUUAAGUUGUCUAGAGGAUUAAAAUUCAUUUUAUGGACUUCUUCAGUCUAUUUUCGAUGUGUAUAGUGGUUUUAUGUCAUGGCUCUUUUUCUCUGUGUUUUCUAUAUAUACAAUGUAUAUCAGCAUAGAAAACUGUAUAUUUGCUUCCUAGUCUUUGUUCAUUGUUGUAUAUACAAUACUCUUUUAUAUCAGCUAUCUUCAAACUAUGAAACCUAUAUAUUUGUUGUAUACCAUUGAAUACACCAUGUCUCUUCAUUAGUCAAUCCUUUUUUGAACUUUUUGUAAUGACCAUUUUCGUUGUUAUGUACAAACCUCCCGUUAAAAUUUUGUAUUAAAAUUUUUCUAGAAUUUUAUGUUAUAUAUUUCAAGCUAAGCUAGUUCGAGUGAAAUCAAAGUAAUUUAUGGUCUAGGGGAAUUCUAGAAUUAUUUGGGCAAGUUGGGUGAUUUUUUAUUUGAUCUUCCAUUGGCUAAGACGAUAAAGAACCCAUAGGAAUUUAUGGAAUUGAAUUUGGAUGAUUAGUGUGAGUGUCAGACCUGAAGGGAAUGGGUCGUGACAAUGUUUGUAUAAGAGACUAGGUUCACCGAUCUCAACGUACCAAAAUGGGUCCAAGAAGUCUCGCAGAAUGGUAUGGAGACGUCUGUUCUUUUCUUGGGGAAGCUAUAGGACUUUAGGAAAUCUGUCAUUAUUGUUUCUUUUUUGCCAUAACUUGAUUCCAACUGGUAUCUUACAAUCCAAAUUGGUAUCUAAUCCUCUUCAUUCUUUUGUCCGCAGAUGGUGGAGUCAUCCCAACAACCCCCAUACUAUAUGCUCCAACUACAGAGCUAGUCAUAAGAGCAAGAGGAUGAGUGAGACAGAGUGGUAUGGGAAGAAGGGGAUGAGCCACACCCGCCAGUGGUGAGGCUCAAGAAGUAACUGGCCAGAUCUUUAAGAGGUCAGUAUCACCUUCCCAAUUUUAGGAUCAUGUUAUAGAAAGAGAAGUAGUAGAGCAGAAGUGAGUGGAGCCUGAGGUGGCGGGUGAACCAAGAGUUUCAAGGUUAUCCCGUGUGUCCACAGAGGUUGUUUGGUAGGUGUUAGCUUUCUGAGUGGGUUAGCAGGGACUGGAGAAACACCCACUAUACCGUCUUUUUAUGCUUUAAUUGUUCAUCUACUAUAAUUAUGGCUCUAAGAAUGGGUGAUGCUUCAGGGAACAAUGCUUCUCUUCAUCCAAUUUUGGAUUUGGUGAUGACCGAUACAGAACACGAACUAUUGACAAAAUUUUUGAAGAUGAAACCUCAAACAUUCCAUGGUACCAAUUUUGUAUAUGAUUUCGUUCAUUAUUGAUGACUGUGAGAGGUGGAGAAGCAUGCUAAGUAAUGGCGAAGGGUGUACGUAGAAUGUCGGUCACAAAUUUUGGAUUUGUUGACUUAUGAAUAAUUUUAUGCCUUAUUCUUCUUAAAGUAUAUGCUUUAUUCUCUUCGAGAUAGAAAUAAUGAUGAGUUCUUAGCUUAGUAGGAGGGUGACGUAUCUAUUGAAGACUAUGAGGCUAAGUUCCAUCCCUUCUCUACUAUGCCUCUUAGUUAUUUACUACUAAGGAGGAGAGGAUUCCUCUCUUUGUUAAGGAUUUGAAUUAUGAUCUUGAGUUCUUUCUGUGCAUAUGAUAUCCACACAAAAGGGUUCAAUGAAGUUUCUGACUAUGUGAAGAAGUUGUAUGGAACGCAAGCAGAUCAAGAUAAGAUGUUAGCCAAGAUGUCCCACAAUGUUGAAAAUUUUAGUCUAUCUUAAAAGAUAUCGUAAAGUUCAAUACUUUCAGUAGUUCAAAGGACGGGGUGACAUACUCAUACUUCAUUGUAAUUCAAAGCAUCUUAAAAAGUCUUAAAAUAUUAUAAUUUUAUCAUUUUACUUUUCAAAUUAAUAUAUAAAAGAAUACCAUUUCAAAUAGUCAUUUCAAGUAUCAAAACCCUUUACUAGUGAUUAAAAAACAAUUUAUAUGAAGAGUGAAAUCAAUAUUUAGCCUUUCGUAAAUGUAAUUCUCAACCCUAUUUUUAAACCAUCAAUAUAAUAUAUAUAUAUAUAUAUAUAUAUGUAUAUAUAUAUAUAUAUAUAUAUACAUAUAUAAUCAUCAACUUUUAGUAGUAGUUGAAGUAGGGGCAUUCAAUAUACCUUUUUGACGAAGAACGAAAAAAGGAACUGUGAUAAUUAGCCUUAGACCUUACUUCUUGAAUCCUUGAGAGUCCUUAGACUUAGAGUGGACAAGAGAAGAGUUGUUUUUAAUUUGACUUAGGACAAAUCUCGAUUAGAAAAAAUCUUUGGAGAGCCUUAUUGAACUUGUGAGCUUUGGAGAUUUGGAAUUUGAAAAACCCUUCUUGAAUUUAUGAGAAUUAGGAGAGAAAAGAAAUUAGGAUUUAGGAAUGAAUCUCCUAGUUUAGGAGGUCUUUAGGGAUUUAAAAUGAGUUGAGGGAGUUACACGGGGUGUGAAAAAUACUUUUUCCCUGAGUUAAUUAGAGAACUAUAGAAGUUUUACAUCUAGGAGAGAGAGUGCAUGGCCAAUUGUGUGGUACCCAACCGUGCCUUACAUGGCUCAGUAUGCAUCUUGGAUAAUGUCUCACUAAAAUACACAUAACUUGUUCCUCUGAAAAUAGAUUGAUGAAUGGUCAGAGGAGUUGGAAAGAAGACUAGGAAACUUUUAAUUUUGUAGGUAUUAGGCAACCUUAGUAUAUUCUAGGAGCAAUGGCUUUUAGAAGUUGACCCAAGUAAGAACUUGUACUAAAACUCAAUCAGUAUGAAAUUUCUCAACUCAACUUUGAGUUAGGAGAUUUCUAUAACCUCAAUUCAUCUCCAAAACUCCUCCCACACUAAAGAAUUGAUAUUUAGACUUAUAUCUAAGUUGAAAUUAUUGGGUUCAGGUCUAUACGGGUAUAAAAGAUGGUUCAAAUUCUAUUUCAAAAGUGUGGAAUGUAACACAAGCCUAGGACUUGGACACAAUAGGCAUCCCAGAUCAAUGAAGGCCCAAGAAGAGUCUUAGCAUCUCAUCAUAGGCAUAGGCAUCGGUAACAUGUAGAAAUAGGCCCAUAAAAUAUUAAGUUCAACUUAAAUAAGAAUUGUAAAACCAAGACUUGAAAUACGACAUAAAGACAACUUUCUACAUCAGUCUAUGAAGCCAAAAACAUUAUUAGUGAAAUUCCUAAGUCGGUAAUGGCCCCGGUGAUACCAUAAGACAAAUGAACAAUGUCUAAAUGAAUGAAAGAAAACAUAUGUCUUCCUAAGGAUAGAAGGAUCACUAAUUGUUACUUGUUGUCCCACGGAGAACCUAAUGUUGCAAGAGUCAGGAAUAAAUGCCUUCAAACCUGAAUCAUGAAAAGAUAUAGCAUCCGACGAUGGUUUGUGUGACAGUACUAGCAUGAGACCUAGAGAAAGGGACAAAGUCAUUUAUAAAGCAAGUCCUAAAGUUCAUAGAGGAAGUUUGGAGAAAGAGAUUCAAAAUAUGAAAUUAUAAUGAAUUAUAAAAUUUAUGUAAUACCCCGUACUAAUCCUAGCUCGACUCAUCUCAUAGUUGCAUGCUUAAGGGGCUUAUGGCUUGAAAUUUUUACUAAGUGUUGGAGACUUAGUCAUUUUCAAGACCCCUAAACUUUGAGAAUUUUCAUUUGGUCUUUCCAACCCCGAGACAUUAGUUCUUUAGUUAAUUCAUGUUCAAGGAAGUAAGAAGUAUAUCUAGGGGAAGUUUCAAAUUUUUUGAAUGAGGAUUGGGUCACUUCUUAAUUUCAAUUCCAGAACCUCACCGUGAUAGCGGUGCGUCGCGGUGGGUAUGGCGAUGGGCAUAUCAUUGCAUCGCAGUGAAAGUGUUUUUGUCCAGUUCUUGAUUUAUAAUUUUAGCAUAUGUAUCAUUAUCUUUAUCCUAGUGUGUAAAGUGCUUAUUAGGUUAAAAGUGUUCAUAGAAAUCACUUAGAGCAAAAUUGAGUUAAGAGCCUUUGAUUCGUUCCAAACUUGGUAUUCCAUUCUACAAGGGUCAACUUUGAAAGUGUAUAACUUUCUAUGUACGUAGAAUUUUUUAGCUCAAGACCUACCAAAUUGUAGAUAAAUGAAUUAGCUUUCCAACUAUACCAAUUUUGUCUUAAUCUGAUACCCGAGCAAAAAGUUAUGAUCAUUUUCGUCAGAACCAACAGGUCACCACGAUAAGACCACAUCAUGAUGAACCUUUAAUCCGUAUUUUAGUUAUGAAUUUUUUGUUUAAAUGAUGAAGGAGAACUUGGGUCUUUUCCAACCUCAACCCAAUUCAUAAAAAUAUGACCUACGAGUUCAAUUAGGGCAUUUUAUGCCCAUAUUCACCAAAUUUCCUCUCAAGAACAUACCUUAAUCAUCCCCAAGUUCAUCCAUUCCAUCAUCCUCUCUUCAAGGAAACCAAGAAUUUAAGUUCUCUAACCAAGAAUUUUCAAGAAAACUUUCAAGAUCAUCUCCAUGGCUUUUAAGGUCAAGGUUUCACCAAGUCAAGUCUAUUAAGGUAUGUGAGGUUAUGAACAAGGGUAUCCUUUCACCCUUGUGCCCAAAUUACAUGAUUUUAAGAUUUUAUUUAAUUAUUUUAAAGUAGGGUUCAUACCCAAGUGUGUGUGUAUAUAUAUAUAUAUAUAUAUAUAUUCUUGAAGCAUGGGAUUAUUAUGAGAUUUAAAGCAUUGAGUAUAUCAAGAGUUACUUAAGUUUAUGUUUUAACCUAUAAGUUUUAUAUUAUACAUGAGAUUGCACUAUCUUGACAUGAUAUUGUUCAAGUAUUUCAAGAUUAUUACUGAGCAUAGAGUUUAAAGCAUGGGUUUUAAGCCGUAAAUUUAUGUGUUUAGAUUUCAAGAAGAUCAUGCUCUUAAGUUUUAUUUGAUAAGUUUAUACCAAGAAUGAGUUUGAGAUUUUAAGAAGACUAUGAUAUUAAGCUUCCUUGAUGGUUUUAUACCAAGAUUUAAAGAAAUAUCGAUCUUUUGAUCCUAAGCUAACAUAUGGAAUCCACACUUGUUCAUUUUGAUUACAGAUUAAAGCAUAGAGAAGCAUAGCUAGUUUUUAUUAUAAACCCUUAUGCUAUUUUAAGAUGCAUUUCCAAAGAAAAAGUAUGAGAAUAUAAGUAUGAUGGGAGUAGUAUUUAGCACCAAGUUGGGUAUGAGUCCAAGUCACAUGUCCCAGAACUACGUGCCACCAUAGGUUUAAGUGCCCAUAGUGGGAUAAGUAUAGUGAUCACUUAAGUUAAGAUACUAUUCCGAUGGCAAGGGUAGGAUGGAUCUCCCUAACAUGGGUAAGACGUUGGACUCCAUGAUAGCUCACAUGGUUUAUGUAGAUUAGAAAAAACUCCCGAAAAAAGAAAAAGUAAAAGUAAAGCUUUUAGAAACUAAAUGUGCUGGCUCACAAAGUUUAUUCAGUAUGCUUUAUUAUUUAUGUUUUAUGAUUUUUCAUCUUUCAGUUUUAUUCAAUCCCAAGGUGAGUCGCUUACACUUAGCUUGCAUUAUUUGAAAAUCUAUGAAUAUAUUAAGUUAUUAUUUUAUUUAUGCAUUCACCCCCACAUACUCAGUAUAUUCCAGAAGUAUUGAUCCGCAUAUAUGUCUAUGUGCUACAUUGUAUCAUAAUGUAGGUACUAGUUGUAGCUCACACAUCAUCAUCAAACAGUUUGCAGCUUCCCGUCAGCAUGUGAUGAAUACUUUUGAUUCAAGGGCUCAAGUCAAUCAUAGUUCGAGUAGCAUUUUUUUUUCUUUAUUCAAUCGUAUUGAUUUGGGAUAGAUGGGGGUCAUGUCCCGGCUACCUAUAGUAAAUAUUAGUAGUGGUUUAAUAGACAGUCAGUAUAGUUGAUGUUUGAAAUUUAAGUUUGAUUUUGUAUAACCAGAGUUGUAAUCAUUUUAUACAAUUUUGUACUGUACCUAUUUAGUAAAGACAUCUCUUUCACUUAUUUCUUUUAGAUUAAUGUAUCUUAUGUAGUUGCUCAUGGGUUAUGCCAUUAUAUGGGUUACCUUGGGAUAUUUAUGGUCCUAAGCACCGUGUGACAUUUCGGGGGUAGUCUCGGAUCAUUACAAUUUACUUCUGAACUAUAUAGCACUAACUCUAAGUAAUCGAAGGGAUAUAUGGGUCUGUAUUCACCAACCUAUGGGGGCCCAAUCGAUGUUUGCUGCAUGAGUAAGAUAAACAUAAUUUGGACAUCAUAAUAUUAUCAUAAAGGGAAUAAACAUCAUAAGGUUGUUCCGUUAGGAGUGAACCAUCCCUACAUUGGCAAAACAUAAUUUUUUGGCGUUGGUCACGAAGAUUUACACCUUCUCUGUGAACUACAUAAUUAUAUUUAAGCCCAAUUUAAAAUAAUUUUCAUAACCAUUUAUCCCUGGAUCUUUUGUAAAGGUAUUUAUACUUUGGUAUCGUCAUACUAAGACUUGCAAGUUAUCCAUAUCAUGCCAAAAUCAUUAUCUUAAAAUAUUAUAGACUUUAAUGCCGCCUUUUCAAGUAUUUGAACAUAGUUAACAUUCCUCAUAAAGGUUAAAGACUCCAUAUUUAAAUAACAGUACUCUUAAAAAAACAUAGAAUAUAGAUAUUUGUUCCUUCUUACCAAAAUCAAAAUUUGAGUAACAAGGUGAAUUACAAGAGGAAUAUAAAUUUUUGAAUUCAAUACACCCCAAUAAAAUUUCUUAUUCAUAAAGUUUCAUAUUUCAAACAAUAAUCUCCAAAUCUCAAGUUCCAUUAACAAUUCAAGCCUUAGUUCAUCAAAAAGAGGUUUUCAAUUUUAAAUAAUUCAUCCUUUUGAAAAUCAAUCAAAAACCCAUUUUUAAAACUCAUAUAAACUAAUUUAAUUAUUGGAGAAAUCGAUCUAGCUUUUCUCACUCUAUCCCACCUAAUUGGUGACCUACACCUCCUGCUCUAAAAUGCCUCAAAUGGUACCAUCUGGCUACUAGAGUGAUAAUUAAUAUUGUAUGAAAAUAUCCUUAAAAUCAAUAACACAAUCUCUUAAAAUAUCAUCUAAAUUUUGAAUAGUACAAUCGACUUUCCCUGUUUCAACAUGAAAAGCGGUGGUAAGAUUCACUUGUAUGUUCAAACCCUUCUAAAAAGAUCACUAAAACUUAGAAGAAACUUUCCUACCUCUAUCGAAUUUUAGGAAUAGAGGGGCUCAAUGAAAUCUAACAAUCUGUAAAAUGUACAACUAUGCAUAAUAUUCUUUCGAAUAAGUCGUCCACAUUGGCAGAAAAUGAGCAGUCUUGGUCAUUUUGUAAACGAUGACCCAAAUAGAAUCAUCUUGGUUGUGAGAACGCCGGAGACCCAUGACAUUACAAAAAUAUUAUAGACUUUAAUACUGUUUUUUCAAAUAUUUGAACACAUUUAACAUGCCCCAUAUAGGUUAAAGACUCUACAUUUAAAUAGCAAUGCUUUAUAAAAAAAAAAAAAAAAUAUAGAUAUUUCUUCCUUCUCACCAAAUCAUGAUUUGAGUAACAAGGUGAAUUACUAUAGGAAUAGAAAUUAUUGAAUCCAAUCCACCCCAAUAAGCUUUCAUAUUCAUAAAGUUUAAUAUUUCAAACCAUAAGCCCCAAUUCUCAAGUUCCAUUAACAAUUCAAGCUUUCUCAAAAAGAGUUUUUUAAUUUUAAAUAAUUCUUCGUUUUUAAAAUCAAUCAACAAUGAACAUUUAAUACUCACAUAAACCACUUGAAUAAUUGGGGAAGACAUCCAAGAAUAAUUUUGUAGAAAGAGGGUUGCUCAAAAUAUCUUUUGUCGGAAGGAAUUUGAGAAAGGUUGAAUUUUGAGACAUGAAUCGUGAACACUAGUUGACUUUGCUUCUAAGAGUUUUGAGAAAGAGUAGAAUGUAUUUUGACUAUUGAAAACGCAUUUAGGGUUUUGGGGUUGUUUAGUAUAGGUAGAGGACGGUUUUUAAUCAAGGAAAGGACCCUAAUGGCUCUAAAAUAUAAAAAUUUAAUGAAAUUCCAUCAGGCCAUGGGGGAGGGGGAGAGGGAGGGGGCUGCACGGCUUGCCCCCCAUUGUGUGCCCUUCUCUUGCAUAGCGUUCUUCCCAGAGCAAAGGUGAAACAGAAGGCCCACCAGCCUGGCUGUGUGGCGUGGAGCUUGAAUCCAAGUAUCCCUGAAUGUGAUGCAUGGGCCCGAUAUUAUGUCCUAAUCAUCCUAACCAUCCCCUAACUCAUCCUUAAUGAUUUAUACUCAUUUUUAUUCAUUCUAAUAAGACAUUCAAAUGUACGGGUUGUUACAUGUAACGACCCUAAAGGUGAUACUUUGUUUAUAUCUCGUUUUCCAUCUUUUGAACCUUACCAUAAUUUCAACUUUGUCUUUGCAAUUUGUGGGCAUGGAAGACAUAUAACUCUCAAGGUGAUUGGAUGUGUUUUGGAGAAAAUUUUCAGUUUGGAAGGUUUAAGAUUUGGAGAAUUAGUCAAAUAUAAAAUAAUGGUUUGGUUGGUUAGGAUUUGAGUUUCGAUGAUUCCAACUAAGUUCGAAGGGCAAUUUAUGACUUUGUCGGAUAUGGUUUGCAUGGAUCCCUAAGGUGUAUGAGUGUGGUUUGGUCCGUUGUGUUGUAUUCUAACUUUAUUAAAGUUUAGAGUUGACCACGGACAAUAUUUGAUCAAGAUGGUGAUUUGAUGAGUCCAACAGAUUCAGAAUGUGUUUCAUGGUCAAUUUGCAUUAUUGGUUAAUGUUCAUAAAUUUCGAAUGCAUUUUGAGAGUUUUGGAAAUGUUGGUUUGUUGUUUCUAGUGCAGCUACAAAUACUUCUUUGAGUUUGUGAGGCCUUGGUUGCUUUCAUGGAGAUAGAUUAUCAUUGGUCAUCCCAUUCUAGAUAUCCCGUCACAUGCGAGGGUUAGGGUCAUCUAGUCCAGAUCAACAUUAUUCUUCACAUUCUCGAGGUAUUUGGUUGGGUCAGUGGUUGUGCUUGCGCAGAGUAAAGAGUACAUGGACAGAAUUUAAAAUCAUACUAUAUUUCAAAACGUGGACUUCAUAUAUUUGUUUGGGAGCUAGAGAGCUCAAUUUUGAGAGAUUUUUUAUGGGACUUCAAUAAAUCCAUAUUUAAUAUUCUUCCACUAAUUAAUAUCUCCCUUAUUUCAUGAAUUAAUUUGAAUUUGGGUAUUGGAAACUGGAUUUUAUGCCCUGAAGCAUUAAAAUUGAUAAUUUUCAUGAUUUGAGGUUUGAUUCGUGCUCGAAAUUUGUGAUUUUUGAUGCAUAAGAUUUUAUGUAAUGCAUAAACAAAUUUUUAAUUUUAUUACCAGCAUUCUCCUCGAGGCUGAGAAUGACACUUCAAAUUGAUUUUUUAUCUAAAAUUUUUAUAUAGUCGUAUGAAUGUCGAUAGACUCGUAUACUAAUAUAGAGUCCAAUCCGAUGCCCUUCAAAACGAAAAGGAGGCAUUAUUGUGAUGGUUCGUGACUUGUUUCCCUUCAAAAGAAAAAGGAGGCAUUAUUGUGAGGGUUCGUGACUCGUUACUUGGUAUCCAAGGUAGUAUGUGGCUUACCUUGUAAACUCUGCUGGGAGAUGAUUAUUGUAUAUUGAUUAUGAGGGCUUUGGCAAUAUCAGGAUUGCCAAAUUCUAUUGUGUUGAUUAGUAUUUGGACACUAGUGUAUUUUGAAAGGUACUUUAUGACGUACAAAUAUUGGAAGAGCUACUUCUUGAUGUGAAUCUAGGUUGGAAAUUAGUUGAUAGACUUUAUAGACAUUGUUUGACUUGUUUGUAUAUGGCUAGAAGAGCCUUGAGUGAAUUGUCGAUUGUUGACUCGAGAUACUAAUAUAUCAUGAUUGGAAUGGAACAAAUGAUGCGGUUAAGUGAUGAACCCUGAAAAAUGUAUACGUAUUCAUACAUAUUCUUACCAUUUUAGUGGAUACAUGAUAUCUAUCGUCCUAUGGUGACCAUUGACUUGAUUUUUAUGAACUUCCUUAUGCAUUUUGAAAAGCUUUUAUCUAUUCUUCUGAAGUCAAGUGGUAUGGUGGUGGAAAUGAAUCUAACAAGUUGAUAUAAUGCAAAAACGAUAAAAUGAUUCCAGCUUGUAGUAAAGCUUAGGCAACAACAACAACAAACCCAGUGUAUUCCCACCUAGUGGGGUCUGGGGGGGUAAGAUGUACGCAGUCCAUACCUCUACCUCUGAUGAAGUAGAAAGGCUGUUUCCAAUAGACCCCCGGCUCAAGGCACGAGAUACCACACAAAUACAUAGUGCAGCACAAAAGCAGAUUACAUAACAUAAAUACGGCACCCAUAAGUAAUAUAAAGCAGAGGAAAGCAGGGGAAAGCACACAAAUUCGUAAUACAACAUGGAACACGGAACACGGAAUCAUGACAAGAAUAAAACCUCAAUGAUGAAAAAGUGUUUCGGGCAAGUAUAUGUACCACGCGAGCUCCCCAUGGAUCACUGCUCCUGAAAAAUCUCAAUGGUGAAAGAGCAUGUGUAUCCCAGGUUAUUAUUGGCCAUUGCACUUCAUAACAUCUUACUUACAUGAUUUAAUAUGAUUUUUCUAAUUGAGCAUACAAGAAUACAUUUCUUUUC